Molecule: ribosomal RNA, 253 nt
Filed under: uncultured bacterium
Lineage: Bacteria
Description: partial small subunit ribosomal RNA
Rfam family: Bacterial small subunit ribosomal RNA
Source: RNAcentral
AGGACGAACGCUGGCGGCGUGCUUAACACAUGCAAGUCGAGCGGAAAGGCCCUUCGGGGUACUCGAGCGGCGAACGGGUGAGUAACACGUGAGCAACCUGCCCCUGGCUCUGGGAUAGCCUCCGGAAACGGGGAUUAAUACCGGACGUGACCCUUGACCGCAUGGUUGGGGGUGGAAAGUUUUUCGGCCAGGGUGGGCUCGCGGCCUAUCAGCUUGUUGGGGGGUGACGGCCCACCAAGGCGACGACGGGUAG